UAGCGGCAGGCCUAACACAUGCAAGUCGAGGGGUAACGAUGGCUUCGGCCAGGCGACGACCGGCGCACGGGUGAGUAUCGCGUUUGUAACCUACCUCUGACUGGAGGAUAGCCCGAAGAAAUUCGGAUUAAUACUCCAUAAUACUAUGGACAGGCAUCUGUUCAUGGUUAAAGCCCCGGCGGUCAGAGAUGGGCAUGCGUGACAUUAGCUUGUUGGUGAGGUAACAGCUCACCAAGGCUACGAUGUCUAGGGGGUCUGAGAGGAUGGUCCCCCACACUGGUACUGAGACACGGACCAGACUCCUACGGGAGGCAGCAGUGAGGAAUAUUGGUCAAUGGGCGAAAGCCUGAACCAGCCAUGCCGCGUGAAGGAUGACAGCCCUAUGGGUUGUAAACUUCUUUUGUACGGGAAGAAACGCUUCUACGUGUAGAGGUUUGACGGUACCGUACGAAUAAGCAUCGGCUAACUCCGUGCCAGCAGCCGCGGUAAUACGGAGGAUGCAAGCGUUAUCCGGAUUUAUUGGGUUUAAAGGGUACGUAGGCGGGAGCUUAAGUCAGUGGUGAAAUCCUGCAGCUUAACUGUAGAACUGUCAUUGAUACUGGGCUUCUUGAAUGUAGUUGAGGUAGGCGGAAUGUGUAAUGUAGCGGUGAAAUGCUUAGAUAUUACACAGAACACCGAUUGCGAAGGCAGCUUACUAAACUACGAUUGACGCUGAGGUUACGAAAACGCCGUGGCGCGAGCGAACAGCGAUUAGAUACCCUGGUAGUCCACGCUGUAAACGAUGAUCACUCGUUGUUGGCAAUACACCGUCAGCGACUGAGCGAAAGCAUUACGUGAUCCACCUGGGGAGUACGACCGCAAGGUUGAAACUCAAAGGAAUUGACAGGGGGCCACGCACAAGCGGAGGAAAACAUGUGGGUUUAAUUCGAUGAUACGNNNCGA
This 942-nucleotide ribosomal RNA is filed under the name uncultured organism. Its description in RNAcentral is "bacterial SSU rRNA". It matches the Rfam family "Bacterial small subunit ribosomal RNA", at positions 37 to 967 of the family's 1533-position model. The record is from RNAcentral.